UACGGGGGGAGCAAGCGUUGUUCGGAUUUACUGGGCGUAAAGGGCGCGUAGGCGGCCACCGCAAGUCGACUGUGAAAUCUCCGGGCUUAACCCGGAAAGGUCAGCCGAUACUGCGGGGCUAGAGUGCAGAAGGGGCAACUGGAAUUCUCGGUGUAGCGGUGAAAUGCGUAGAUAUCGAGAGGAACACCAGUGGCGAAGGCGGCUCACUGGCCCGGUACUGACGCUGAGGUGCGAAAGCGUGGGGAGCAAACAGG
This 254-nucleotide ribosomal RNA is filed under the name uncultured bacterium. RNAcentral describes it as "partial 16S ribosomal RNA". It matches the Rfam family "Bacterial small subunit ribosomal RNA", at positions 524 to 776 of the family's 1533-position model. The record is from RNAcentral.